RNAcentral lists this long non-coding RNA (224 nucleotides) under Elaeis guineensis (African oil palm). RNAcentral describes it as "long non-coding RNA (EGUI_LNC074161)". The record is from RNAcentral. Lineage: Eukaryota; Viridiplantae; Streptophyta; Magnoliopsida; Arecales; Arecaceae.
UGACCGGAUGAGGUCAAAAGCUUUGAAGUCUGCCAUUUUCUCUUCUUUUCUGUCCCCUGCCCGCCCCGAACCGAAACCACCUUUGAAGUCACAAGCUUUGAAGUCCAUGUCUUUUUCAUUUUUCCCUUUUUCCGUCCUCCCGCUGCCCACCUGAACCGGGAACCAGGUUUGAAGUCACAACCUUUGAAAUCUUUAUGUCUUUUUUCCCUUUCCCUGCCGCCGCC